RNAcentral lists this long non-coding RNA (251 nucleotides) under Bos taurus (domestic cattle). RNAcentral describes it as "long non-coding RNA NONBTAT020510". The record is from RNAcentral. Lineage: Eukaryota; Metazoa; Chordata; Mammalia; Artiodactyla; Bovidae.
CACCUAUCUAUUGGCAUGAAGAAGCUACCUUGAGAAAAACUUUAGUUCAGGGUCAGCAAAGAGCAUCCCUUGAGUAACCUUUGUUCUCUCUCUGAAAUUUCCAAACUAGUAAAACUGUUAGCAUGUUUUAGAAAAUCAGACUUACUUAAAUGUGUGACUGAGAAAACCAAGUUUUAUUUCUGUCUUCAAAGAUUUAGUCUAUUAAGAAUCUAUUGGAAGCAAUUUGCAAACUGCUUCUAGAAUGUCUUUUG